This 699-nucleotide ribosomal RNA is filed under the name uncultured bacterium. RNAcentral's name for it is "bacterial SSU rRNA". It matches the Rfam family "Bacterial small subunit ribosomal RNA", at positions 28 to 749 of the family's 1533-position model. The record is from RNAcentral.
GACGAACGCUCUUGGCAUGCCUAACACAUGCAAGUCGAACGGAGAUCUCAAUAUCUUAGUGGCGGACGGGUGAGUAAUGGAUGAGUAAUCUGCCUCAUACACUGGGAUAACACAGAGAAAUUUGUGCUAAUACCGGAUGAGACCACACUACCGCAUGGUAGAGGGGUCAAAGGGCUUUACUGGUAUGAGAUGAGCUCAUCUCCCAUUAGCUAGUUGGUAAGAUAACAGCCUACCAAGGCGACGAUGGGUAGCCGGCCUGAGAGGGUGAACGGCCACAUUGGAACUUAGACACGGUCCAAACUCCUACGGGAGGCAGCAGUGGGGAAUAUUGGGCAAUGGGCGAAAGCCUGACCCAGCAAUGCCGCGUGAGUGAAGAAGGUCUUCGGAUUGUAAAGCUCUUUGAUUAGGGACGAAAAAAUGACUGUACCUAAAGAACAAGCCCCGGCUAACUACGUGCCAGCAGCCGCGGUAAUACGUAGGGGGCAAGCGUUGUCCGGAAUUAUUGGGCGUAAAGGGUGCGUAGGUGGUUUAGCAAGUUGGAAGUGAAAUACCCAGGGCUUAACUCGGGUGCUGCUUUCAAAACUACUAGACUUGAGUGUGGGAGAGAAUAGUGGAAUUCCUAGUGUAGCGGUGGAAUGCGUAGAUAUUAGGAGGAACACCAGUGGCGAAGGCGACUAUUUGGGCCAUAACUGACACUGA